UACGUAGGGGGCAAGCGUUGUCCGGAAUCAUUGGGCGUAAAGAGCGUGUAGGCGGCUCGAUAAGUCCGCUGUGAAAGUCCAGGGCUCAACCCUGGGAUGCCGGUGGAUACUGUCGGGCUCGAGUCCGGAAGAGGCGAGUGGAAUUCCUGGUGUAGCGGUGAAAUGCGCAGAUAUCAGGAGGAACACCAAUGGCGAAGGCAGCUCGCUGGGACGUGACUGACGCUGAGACGCGAAAGCGUGGGGAGCAAACAGG
This 253-nucleotide ribosomal RNA is filed under the name uncultured bacterium. Its description in RNAcentral is "partial 16S ribosomal RNA". It matches the Rfam family "Bacterial small subunit ribosomal RNA", at positions 524 to 776 of the family's 1533-position model. The record is from RNAcentral.